CAGUAGCCGCGGUAAUACGUAGGGUGCAAGCGUUAAUCGGAAUUACUGGGCGUAAAGCGUGCGCAGGCGGUUAUAUAAGUCAGAUGUGAAAUCCCCGGGCUCAACCUGGGAACUGCAUUUGAGACUGUAUAGCUAGAGUGUGUCAGAGGGGGGUAGAAUUCCACGUGUAGCAGUGAAAUGCGUAGAUAUGUGGAGGAAUACCGAUGGCGAAGGCAGUCCCCUGGGAUAACACUGACGCUCAUGCACGAAAGCGUGGGGAGCAAACAGGAUUAGAUACCCCCGUAGUCCCUGUCUCUUAUAC
Molecule: ribosomal RNA, 301 nt
Filed under: uncultured bacterium
Lineage: Bacteria
Description: partial 16S ribosomal RNA
Rfam family: Bacterial small subunit ribosomal RNA
Source: RNAcentral